RNAcentral lists this small RNA (53 nucleotides) under unclassified sequences. RNAcentral's name for it is "Streptococcus sRNA SpF59 (ldcC RNA)". It matches the Rfam family "Streptococcus sRNA SpF59 (ldcC RNA)". The record is from Rfam by way of RNAcentral.
GGACCACUCCGACGGGGAGUUAAGGCCAUACGGACAGCCGGGUCCAAUGCCGA